Molecule: ribosomal RNA, 501 nt
Filed under: uncultured bacterium
Lineage: Bacteria
Description: bacterial SSU rRNA
Rfam family: Bacterial small subunit ribosomal RNA
Source: RNAcentral
AACGCUGGCGGCGUGCCUAACACAUGCAAGUCGAACGGAAGUAUACGUUGCAGAGAUUCGGUCAAAGCUUGUGAUACUUAGUGGCGGACGGGCGAGUAACGCGUGGGCAACCUGCCUCAUACUGGGGGAUAGCAGUUGGAAACGACUGAUAAUACCGCAUAAGCGCACAGCAUCGCAUGAUGCAGUGUGAAAAAACUCCGGUGGUAUGAGAUGGGCCCGCGUCAGAUUAGCCAGUUGGCAGGGUAACGGCCUACCAAAGCGACGAUCUGUAGCCGGCCUGAGAGGGCGGACGGCCACAUUGGGACUGAGACACGGCCCAAACUCCUACGGGAGGCAGCAGUGGGGGAUAUUGCACAAUGGAGGGAACUCUGAUGCAGCGACGCCGCGUUGAGUGAAGAAGUAUUUCGGUAUGUAAAGCUCUAUCAGCAGGGAAGAAAGACUCGCAAGAGAGAUGACGGUACCUGACUAAGAAGCCCCGGCUAACUACGUGCCAGCCGCCGC